RNAcentral lists this ribosomal RNA (510 nucleotides) under uncultured bacterium. RNAcentral describes it as "bacterial SSU rRNA". It matches the Rfam family "Bacterial small subunit ribosomal RNA", at positions 28 to 496 of the family's 1533-position model. The record is from RNAcentral.
GACGAACGCUGGCGGCGUGCCUAAUACAUGCAAGUCGAACGCACUCUCGUUUAGAUUGAAGGAGCUUGCUCCUGAUUGAUAAACAUUUGAGUGAGUGGCGGACGGGUGAGUAACACGUGGGUAACCUGCCCUAAAGUGGGGGAUAACAUUUGGAAACAGAUGCUAAUACCGCAUAAAACCUAAACACCGCAUGGUGUAGGGUUGAAAGAUGGUUUCGGCUAUCACUUUAGGAUGGACCCGCGGUGCAUUAGUUAGUUGGUGAGGUAAAGGCUCACCAAGACCGUGAUGCAUAGCCGACCUGAGAGGGUAAUCGGCCACACUGGGACUGAGACACGGCCCAGACUCCUACGGGAGGCAGCAGUAGGGAAUCUUCCACAAUGGACGAAAGUCUGAUGGAGCAACGCCGCGUGAGUGAAGAAGGUUUUCGGAUCGUAAAACUCUGUUGUUGGAGAAGAAUGUAUCUGAUAGUAACUGAUCAGGUAGUGACGGUAUCCAACCAGAAAGCCACGG